GAGUUUGAUCGUGGCUCAGAUUGAACGCUGGCGGCAUGCCUUACACAUGCAAGUCGAACGGCAGCACGGGAGCUUGCUCCUGGUGGCGAGUGGCGAACGGGUGAGUAAUGCAUCGGAACGUAUCCUGGAGUGGGGAUAACGUAGCGAAAGUUACGCUAAUACCGCAUAUUCUGUGAGCAGGAAAGCGGGGGACCUUCGGGCCUCGCGCUCUUGGAGCGGCCGAUGUCGGAUUAGCUAGUUGGUGAGGUAAAGGCUCACCAAGGCGACGAUCCGUAGCAGGUCUGAGAGGAUGAUCUGCCACACCUGGAACUGAGACACGGUCCAGACUCCUACGGGAGCAGCAGUGGGAUUUGGACAAUGGGGCAACCCUGAGUCCAGCCGAUG
RNAcentral lists this ribosomal RNA (384 nucleotides) under bacterium enrichment culture clone ALO1_GLFRUDD03HIT4P. Its description in RNAcentral is "bacterial SSU rRNA". It matches the Rfam family "Bacterial small subunit ribosomal RNA", at positions 9 to 396 of the family's 1533-position model. The record is from RNAcentral.